RNAcentral lists this ribosomal RNA (1395 nucleotides) under uncultured Acidobacteriota bacterium. Its description in RNAcentral is "bacterial SSU rRNA". It matches the Rfam family "Bacterial small subunit ribosomal RNA". Lineage: Bacteria; Pseudomonadati; Acidobacteriota. The record is from RNAcentral.
UGCAAGUCGAGUGCGCAGUUUUCUGUAGCAAUACAGGAAAUGGGCGCACGGCGCACGGGUGCGUAACACGUGGGCAACCUGCCCUUCGGUGGGGAAUAACCCCGCGAAAGCGGGGCUAAUACCGCAUAACAUUCCGGGAACCUCGGUUUCCGGACUCAACGUCCGCAAGGACGCCGAUGGAGGGGCCCGCGCCCGAUUAGCUUGUUGGUAGGGUAACGGCCUACCAAGGCGAUGAUCGGUAGCCGGUCUGAGAGGACGACCGGCCACACUGGAACUGAGACACGGUCCAGACUCCUACGGGAGGCAGCAGUGGGGAAUCUUGCGCAAUGGGCGAAAGCCUGACGCAGCGACGCCGCGUGGGGGAUGAAGCUUCUCGGAGUGUAAACCCCUUUCGACCCGGACGAAUGCCCCGCAAGGGGAGGGACGGUACGGGUAGAAGAAGUCCCGGCUAACUACGUGCCAGCAGCCGCGGUAAGACGUAGGGGGCCAGCGUUGCUCGGAAUAACUGGGCGUAAAGGGUCCGUAGGCGGUGCAGCAAGUCGGGAGUGAAAUCUCUGGGCUUAACCCAGAGACUGCUUCCGAAACUGCUGUGCUCGAGUGCGAGAGAGGCGAGUGGAAUUGCAGGUGUAGCGGUGAAAUGCGUAGAUAUCUGCAGGAACACCAGAGGCGAAGGCGGCUCGCUGGAUCGCAACUGACGCUGAGGGACGAAAGCUAGGGGAGCAAACGGGAUUAGAUACCCUGGUAGUCCUAGCCCUAAACCAUCAGGACUUGGCGUAUCCCGUGUUUGCGGGAUGUGCCGUAGCUAACGCGAUAAGUCCUGCGCCUGGGGAGUACGGUCGCAAGGCUGAAACUCAAAGGAAUUGACGGGGGCCCGCACAAGCGGUGGAACAUGUGGUUCAAUUCGACGCAACGCGAAGAACCUUACCUGGGCUUGAAGACAUACAGGAUGUACUGAGGGGAAAGCCGAGCGACCGUUCGGGGAGCCUUAACAGGUGCUGCAUGGGUGUCGUCAGGUUUAGUGUCGAGAUGAGGGCUUAACUCCCGCAUUGAGCGCAACCCCCGUCAAGAGUUACAAGUGUAUAGCGAGACUGCUGGUAUAAAACGGGAGGAAGGUGGGGAAGACGUCAUGUCCGCAUGCUCUUUAUCUCCAGGGCUACACACACGCUACAAUGGCCGGUACAAUGGGUUGCCACCUUGCAAAAAGGCCCUAACCCCCAAAUCCCUUUUCAUUUCAAAUUCUGUUUUGCAACCAGACGCCAUAAAGGUGGAGUUGUUAGUAACCGCGAUUCACCCAUAGUGCGGUGAAUGCGUUCCCGGGCUUUGUACACACCCCCCGUCACAUCGGAGGACCUGGUAACACCAGAAGUCGGUGACCGAACCGCAAGAGAGCAGCUG